This 218-nucleotide small nucleolar RNA is filed under the name Aphidius gifuensis. RNAcentral describes it as "small nucleolar RNA U3". It matches the Rfam family "Small nucleolar RNA U3". Rfam says of the family: Small nucleolar RNAs (snoRNAs) are involved in the processing and modification of rRNA in the nucleolus. The record is from Rfam by way of RNAcentral. Lineage: Eukaryota; Metazoa; Arthropoda; Insecta; Hymenoptera; Braconidae.
AAGAUCAUACUUCACAGGAUCAUUUCUGUAGUAUAUCUUCACAUUCUCUCUACUUAACAGUUGAGUUGAUGCAGCCAUGAUGAAGAGGUAUAACCCUCUUUCCUGAGCGUGAGGAAGACUUGAGGAACCAAUUUCUUGUUGGUCUCUCAAGUCAUCGAUGAUCGUUCACCUCUUGCAUUUUGUGUAGGAGGCCUGGAAAGUUGGGUAUUCUGAGUGGU